UCCACAAGGGAGGAGCGUUGGGCUUAGGCUUAGAGUUUGGGUUCUCUGACGGCCAUUUCCAGGUCAGGUGAUCCAGACCAGAGCCGCGGGCGCAAGGAGGCCCUGGGGAAGAUGGGGACGGACUAUGUCUGGACUGCUCCUGGGAACGCCCUGGGAUCCCCCCGGUGAGCUGGAGGUGGCCAGCGAGUGGGACUGGGGUCAGGGCCAUGGUGAUUGAUUGGAAAACUCGAACAAUACAAGAGACGGUCAGGAAAAUUAAGUGUCGCUGGUCCUGAAAUACCAGAGCUGAUGGAGAGUAAGGUCAGAGUCCUGAUGACAGGUGCAGCUGUGGAGGCUGGAGAACGUCAUACAGGGUUUCCUUGACGACAGAGACCAGAUGACAGCCAUAGGUCCUGGAGAGAUGUUAUCCCCUGUGUUUCCAGAGUCUCUCUGCAGAAAGUCAUUGUCCUGCACCUCUUCAAUCCCUCCAGUCUUCAGUGGAGACAAAGAGGAGGAAGUGACUGGGUCACUGCUUCCCAUGGGCUGCUGGGUUUGGAAGCUCUUCAACUCAAGACGGUCAAGGCGAGACGUCAAGAAUCAGUUUCAUAGAUAUUGUAAAAACAUCUGAUACAAGCUUUAAUAAAGCAAUUUGAUGUUAAACACAUACUUUUCUUUGUAUUAGUCCAUGUUUACGUUCCACUGAGAUUGUGACUAUGUUGGAAAAAUGGUAAAAAUGCUUGUACUUAGGAUGU
Long non-coding RNA from Betta splendens (Siamese fighting fish), 731 nucleotides. RefSeq lists it as uncharacterized. Lineage: Eukaryota; Metazoa; Chordata; Actinopteri; Anabantiformes; Osphronemidae. The transcript has 3 exons. The record is from RefSeq and is a predicted model, not a curated record.